GCACAGAGUUAGCCGGGGCUUCCUCACUCGGUACCGUCAGACUUCGACGUGUUUGGUCGAAGCUUUUCGUCCCGAGCAACGGGAGUUUACAAUCCGAAGACCUUCAUCCUCCACGCGGCGUUGCGUCGUCAGGCUUGCGCCCAUUGCGAACAAUUCCCCACUGCUGCCUCCCGUAGGAGUCUGGGCCGUGUCUCAGUCCCAGUGUGUCCGUCCGCCCUCUCAGGCCGGAUACUGAUCGUCGCCUUGGUGAGCCAUUACCCCACCAACUAGCUAAUCAGGCGCGGGCCCCUCAUCAAGCGCCAGGUCUUGCGAUCCCCGGCUUUGAUCUCCACCUGUUCAAAGGCAGGAUGUUAUGCGGUAUUAGCGUCCCUUUCGGGACGUUAUCCCCCACUCGAAGGUAGGUCACCCACGUGUUACUCACCCGUUCGCCACUCAACUUGGACCGAAGCCCAAGUCGCGUUCGACUUGCAUGUGUUAGGCACGCCGCCAGCGUUGAUU
This 498-nucleotide ribosomal RNA is filed under the name uncultured bacterium. RNAcentral describes it as "partial 16S rRNA". The record is from RNAcentral.